Molecule: non-coding RNA, 80 nt
Organism: Merluccius polli (Benguela hake)
Lineage: Eukaryota; Metazoa; Chordata; Actinopteri; Gadiformes; Merlucciidae
Source: the annotation of a GenBank genome assembly
GCAGGAUAAUCUAGUGGUUAUGGUGUUUGGCUCCCAGCUGAAAGGUUCUGGGUUCGAACCCCAGUGUCUAGUUUUGAACA